Molecule: ribosomal RNA, 252 nt
Filed under: uncultured bacterium
Lineage: Bacteria
Description: partial 16S ribosomal RNA
Rfam family: Bacterial small subunit ribosomal RNA
Source: RNAcentral
UACGUAGGGGACGAGCGUUGUCCGGAAUUACUGGGCGUAAAGGGCGCGCAGGCUGCGCGUCGAGUCGGCUGUUAAAGAUCCGGGCUUAACCCGGUGAAGCGGUCGAGACCGACGAGCUGGAGUGCUGCAGAGGCAAGUGGAAUUCCCGGUGUAGCGGUGAAAUGCGUAGAUAUCGGGAAGAACACCGGUGGCGAAGGCGACUUGCUGGGCAGCAACUGACGCUGAGGCGCGAAAGCCAGGGGAGCAAACGGG